GCAAGUCGAGCGGUAACAGGAAUUAGCUUGCUAAUUUGCUGACGAGCGGCGGACGGGUGAGUAAUGCUUAGGAAUUUGCCCAGUCGAGGGGGAUAACUAUUGGAAACGAUAGCUAAUACCGCAUACGCCCUACGGGGGAAAAGAGGGGACCUUCGGGCCUUCUGCGAUUGGAUGUACCUAGGUGGGAUUAGCUGGUUGGUGAGGUAAUGGCUCACCAAGGCGACGAUCCCUAGCUGUUCUGAGAGGAUGAUC
RNAcentral lists this ribosomal RNA (252 nucleotides) under uncultured bacterium. Its description in RNAcentral is "partial 16S ribosomal RNA". It matches the Rfam family "Bacterial small subunit ribosomal RNA", at positions 57 to 305 of the family's 1533-position model. The record is from RNAcentral.